RNAcentral lists this ribosomal RNA (253 nucleotides) under uncultured bacterium. Its description in RNAcentral is "partial 16S ribosomal RNA". It matches the Rfam family "Bacterial small subunit ribosomal RNA", at positions 524 to 776 of the family's 1533-position model. The record is from RNAcentral.
UACGUAGGGGGCAAGCGUUGUCCGGAAUCAUUGGGCGUAAAGCGCGUGUAGGCGGCCCGAUAAGUCCGCUGUGAAAGUCCAGGGCUCAACCCUGGAAAGCCGGUGGAUACUGUCGGGCUAGAGUCCGGAAGAGGCGAGUGGAAUUCCUGGUAUAGCGGUGAAAUGCGCAGAUAUCAGGAAGAACACCUAUGGCGAAGGCAGCUCUCUGGGACGGUACUGACGCUGAGACGCGAAAGCGUGGGGAGCAAACAGG